CCUACGGGGUGCAGCAGUGGGGAAUAUUGCACAAUGGGCGCAAGCCUGAUGCAGCCAUGCCGCGUGUAUGAAGAAGGCCUUCGGGUUGUAAAGUACUUUCAGCGAGGAGGAAGGCAUUAAGGUUAAUAACCUUGGUGAUUGACGCUACUCGCAGAAGAAGCACCGGCUAACUCCGUGCCAGCAGCCGCGGUAAUACGGAGGGUGCAAGCGUUAAUCGGAAUUACUGGGCGUAAAGCGCACGCAGGCGGUCUGUCAAGUCGGAUGUGAAAUCCCCGGGCUCAACCUGGGAACUGCAUUCGAAACUGGCAGGCUAGAGUCUUGUAGAGGGGGGUAGAAUUCCAGGUGUAGCGGUGAAAUGCGUAGAGAUCUGGAGGAAUACCGGUGGCGAAGGCGGCCCCCUGGACAAAGACUGACGCUCAGGUGCGAAAGCGUGGGGAGCAAACAGGAUUAGAUACCCCGG
Molecule: ribosomal RNA, 460 nt
Filed under: uncultured bacterium
Lineage: Bacteria
Description: bacterial SSU rRNA
Rfam family: Bacterial small subunit ribosomal RNA
Source: RNAcentral